UGUCAUUCGAUGCUUUCCACAACACACUUUUAAAGAUACUCCCAUCCUGCUGUUUGCACUAACUGUUCACCGACAAACUGCUGCCGCUACUUCGCCGAGGUCUCCAUAGCAACACCUUGUCAUCUGUUUAAAGUGACUCUGUGUAGCAGAAAUGUCACUUAGAAAUACGUCCUCAGUCCCCAUCACAGGGUGAAGGAGCAAUUUACUUCACUCCCUAAUCCAUCCUUUUUUUUUCUUUUUUUUUUUUACACCUGCAUUACUUAACGGAAAGCCGGGAAUCCAUUCCCAACCACUAAAACCUUUGAUUUGCUGUUACGUUCAAACCAGAAUUGUGUGAACUCCAUUUAUUGGACUUCCAGUCAUGGUUUGGCGAUCGAGAAAACCUUCUUUGAAAUUCACACCGGUCAAAGGAAUGGAUGAGUGGUACAGAGACAGCUGAUCCGGCCAAUCUGCAUAAGCAGUCAAUAAGUUGCAACACUUUGGAUCUUCUGGAAGACGGAGGAGAUCGAUGCGUCGCUGCAAACAAGUGGAGGAGCAACACUGGACGGAGAUGAAAGCCAGAGGAGCGAGGAGGAGCGUCUGGGAUGUGGAAGGAGCGCCUCACACAGAGUCAGCCUCCAGGGACUGUGGACGAGCCUUCAUAAGGCUGGGUGGGGCUGUGGGGGAGCUGCAAUCAAAAAUGCUGAAGGUGAACCAGCUCCACUAUACAGCAAAAUAUACUACUUCACCAACCUGCUGGACAAGAGUGACGUGGACAAUGUGUGGAGAGAAGAUUGUCGUCAUGGCGAUGAGCGGUUAACUACAUGUUGACUGUCUGCAGCACUCCAGUGACGACUGUCAGAAAGAGUGAAAUAAAGCACUCUCCUUUACCCUGUAAUGCUACUUCAUCCCACUUAAAUGUUAAUAAGAAAAAAUGGAAGCAC
This is a long non-coding RNA of Oryzias latipes (Japanese medaka), 923 nucleotides long. RefSeq lists it as uncharacterized. The record is from RefSeq and is a predicted model, not a curated record. Lineage: Eukaryota; Metazoa; Chordata; Actinopteri; Beloniformes; Adrianichthyidae.